UACGUAGGCAGCGAGCGUUGUUCGGAGUUACUGGGCGUAAAGAGUGCGUAGGCGGUUUUCUAAGUUUGGUGUGAAAUCUCCCGGCUCAACUGGGAGGGUGCGCCGAAGACUGGAAGGCUUGAGUAUGGGAGAGGUAAGCGGAAUUCCUGGUGUAGCGGUGAAAUGCGUAGAUAUCAGGAGGAACACCUGCGGUGUAGACGGCUUACUGGACCAUAACUGACGCUGAGGCACGAAAGCGUGGGUAGCUAACAGG
RNAcentral lists this ribosomal RNA (253 nucleotides) under uncultured bacterium. RNAcentral describes it as "partial 16S ribosomal RNA". It matches the Rfam family "Bacterial small subunit ribosomal RNA", at positions 524 to 776 of the family's 1533-position model. The record is from RNAcentral.